Molecule: long non-coding RNA, 1291 nt
Organism: Asterias rubens (European starfish)
Lineage: Eukaryota; Metazoa; Echinodermata; Asteroidea; Forcipulatida; Asteriidae
Exons: 4
Source: RefSeq, a predicted model, not a curated record
GGAAGAUGUCGAAACAUGAUGGAGUACUUCUUUUUCGACAAGUCCAUGUUUUACUCCAGUUAUGAGGACACAUUUGUGACAAAGGUGCGAUGGGUCAGCCAGAGGUCACCCCUCCAAAAGUUUUGGACUUGCUGCUAAACAUCAAUGAUGCCUUCUCCUCAGCAGAGCUCUCAAAGCUGAACUGAAAUCCACGGAGCUAUAAAGUGGAUGUCUGUGCACCGUCCAUCGAGCUAUAAAGUGGAUGUCUGUGCACUGCACGUCAUCAAAAUGCUUAUCCCACUGAGAAGGUGUGGUAUCUUGAGGAGUCCUCAGUCACAAAGUAUUUUCCUGAGACCUGCAAUUGCCUAUCACAGACCAUUCUUGUUCUACUUUGUGAUUGCAUCAUAACUGACACACAAUGGAAUGGCAAUCAUCUUUGGAUAUGCUGCUUGCUUUAUUGAGUGACAUGCCCCUUUCCUUUCACUAAUUUAGAAGUGUAAAGAGUUACAACAGCAAGGUGCGUUGUGUUACUUUUUUUACACUAACAAUAAAAAAAAGUAAUGCAUGUUAAUAACUGCAUGUCAAGUACAUCCCCAGUGCAUGAAUAACAUUGACAUAAAUCGUCAGCUCAGUGCUAUGAGGUCGGUAAUCGUAAUUCCAAGUUUGUAUUGAACAGAAUGUCAUGCGUUUACUUUAAAAUCAAAAAUCAAAAUUAAGAAAUCAAUGUUUUACCUAGAAAAUCUUGAAGACCACUGUUGAUCUAAUAAAUAUUUACCAGGAGCUCCAAAAUAUGCCAAAGCAAUUUUAUCAAACCCAUAUAAAUUGCACUAAUGACCUAAUAUAGUUCUGAGCAGACGAAUUAUGUACUUUUCAUAAGUAAUUAUAUUAAGUAAUAAAGUAGUUAUGCAUUUGUGAAGUGAUCAAGCUAAAUGAGUCAUUUGUCCAAAUAUCAGUAUCGAGAAACAAGCUAGAACAGACCAACAAGGGUGAAAUUUCAAAUGGUUUUUUUUGUGUAAAUUGCAAUGAAAUAUAUUUUAUUUUAUAUUGGCAACUUUAGAUCAAAAGUGUGUUAAAAUUAGCAUUGAAAGAAAAUGUGCGGAGGUAUUUUCAAUAAACCCUAUUUUCUCAGUUUCAUUCUUUGUAGUCAAAUGUGGUAUCAACAUGGGGCUUAAAAACAAAGCAAAGGUUAUUCUAUAUUCAAAUGUGUUGUAUAAACAACACUUAAUUGGUUUGACAAACAUUUCAUUUUGCUUGAUCACAUCACAUGUUAAAACUAAUGUAUACUAAGCAAUAGAUUAGUUUAUGUUGCCGA